This 455-nucleotide ribosomal RNA is filed under the name uncultured bacterium. RNAcentral's name for it is "bacterial SSU rRNA". It matches the Rfam family "Bacterial small subunit ribosomal RNA", at positions 340 to 786 of the family's 1533-position model. The record is from RNAcentral.
UACGGAAGGCAGCAGUGGGGAAUAUUGCACAAUGGGCGCAAGCCUGAUGCAGCCAUGCCGCGUGUAUGAAGAAGGCCUUCGGGUUGUAAAGUACUUUCAGCGGGGAGGAAGGCGAUGCGGUUAAUAACCGCGUCGAUUGACGUUACCCGCAGAAGAAGCACCGGCUAACUCCGUGCCAGCAGCCGCGGUAAUACGGAGGGUGCAAGCGUUAAUCGGAAUUACUGGGCGUAAAGCGCACGCAGGCGGUCUGUUAAGUCAGAUGUGAAAUCCCCGGGCUUAACCUGGGAACUGCAUUUUGAAACUGGCAGGCUUGAGUCUUGUAGAGGGGGUAGAAUUCCAGGUGUAGCGGUGAAAUGCGUAGAGAUCUGGAGGAAUACCGGUGGCGAAGGCGGCCCCUGGGACAAGACUGACGCUCAGGUGCGAAAGCGUGGGGAGGCAAACAGGAUUAGGAUACC